This 85-nucleotide non-coding RNA is filed under the name bovine gut metagenome. RNAcentral describes it as "TPP riboswitch (THI element)". It matches the Rfam family "TPP riboswitch aptamer (THI element)", at positions 7 to 92 of the family's 105-position model. Rfam says of the family: Vitamin B(1) in its active form thiamin pyrophosphate (TPP) is an essential coenzyme that is synthesised by coupling of pyrimidine and thiazole moieties in bacteria. The previously detected thiamin-regulatory element, thi box was extended, resulting in a new, highly conserved RNA secondary structure, the THI element, which is widely distributed in eubacteria and also occurs in some archaea. Analysis of operon structures identified a large number of new candidate thiamin-regulated genes, mostly transporters, in various prokaryotic organisms. The record is from RNAcentral.
ACGCUAGGGGUGCUUUGCUGAGAUGAACCCGCAGGUUCGAUCCCUCAAUACUUGAUCCGGAUAAUACCGGCGUAAGGAAGCGAAA